AAGCACGCUGCUAUAGAAACGGAUUUGGGAGACGCGUUGUAGAGAGAUCGCCGAUUUUCAGGGCGUCUCAGAGUUUCUUUUCGGGCUUCAUCACUCUGCAUUGCUCCAGGAUUGCUCCAGGUCCUCAUCGCCGUUCCGUAUAACGCAGUGCUGCAUACAGUACUACUGCUCAUCCAAACACUUCACUCAUCUCAGGCAGACCAGCGGUGUGUUUAUGUCUUUGCUUUACGAAAACGCAGACUAUUCGGACGUCAGGAGCUGCGGAUGGGAAAGAGCUGUUGGACAGCUGUUGAAACCUGCGUGGGGGGAACUUAGUCUACGAGCUUGCCCCUUGGAGCCUCACUGGCCAAACCAUUUUCAUGUCAGAG
Molecule: long non-coding RNA, 368 nt
Organism: Ictalurus punctatus (channel catfish)
Lineage: Eukaryota; Metazoa; Chordata; Actinopteri; Siluriformes; Ictaluridae
Source: Ensembl